This 468-nucleotide ribosomal RNA is filed under the name uncultured bacterium. RNAcentral describes it as "partial 16S ribosomal RNA". It matches the Rfam family "Bacterial small subunit ribosomal RNA", at positions 28 to 507 of the family's 1533-position model. The record is from RNAcentral.
GACGAACGCUGGCGGCGUGCUUAACACAUGCCAGUCGAACGGAAAGGCCCUGCUUUUGUGGGGUGCUCGAGUGGCGAACGGGUGAGUAACACGUGAGUAACCUGCCCUUGACUUUGGGAUAACUUCAGGAAACUGGGGCUAAUACCGGAUAGGAGCUGCUGCUGCAUGGUGGGGGUUGGAAAGUUUCGGCGGUUGGGGAUGGACUCGCGGCUUAUCAGCUUGUUGGUGGGGUAGUGGCUUACCAAGGCUUUGACGGGUAGCCGGCCUGGGAGGGUGACCGGGCACAUUGGGACUGAGGUACGGCCCAGACUCCUACGGGAGGCAGCGGUGGGGAAUAUUGCACAAUGGGCGGACGCCUGAUGCAGCAACGCCGCGUGCGGGAUGACCGCCUUCGGGUUGUAAACCGCUUUCGCCUGUGACGAAGCGUGAGUGACGGUAAUGGGUAAAGAAGCACCGGCUAACUACGUG